Mesocricetus auratus (golden hamster) is the source of this 95-nucleotide microRNA precursor. Lineage: Eukaryota; Metazoa; Chordata; Mammalia; Rodentia; Cricetidae. The record is from Ensembl.
AGGCAGGCGGAUCUCUGUGAGUUCGAGGCCAGCCUGGUCUACAGAGUGAGUUCCAGGACAGCCUCCAAAACCACAGAGAAACCCUGUCUCGAAAA